AUUGAACGCUGGCGGCAGGCCUAACACAUGCAAGUCGAACGAGUGGCGGACGGGUGAGUACUGUCUGGGAAACUGCCUGAUGGAGGGGGAUAACUACUGGAAACGGUAGCUAAUACCGCAUACCAUCAGAUGUGCCCAGAUGGGAUUAGCUUGUUGGUGGGGUAACGGCUCACCAAGGCGACGAUCCCUAGCUGGUCUGAGAGGAUGACCGUCCACACGGGAACUGGAACACGGUCCAGUCUCCUACGUGAGGCAGCAGGGGGGAAUAUUGCACAAGGGGCGCAAGCCUGAUGCAGCCAUGACGAGUGUAUGAAGAAGGCCUUCGGGUUGUAAAGUACUUUCAGCGGGGAGGCGUGACCCGCAGAAGAAGCACCGGCUAACUCCGUGCCAGCAGCCGCGGUAAUAC
This 406-nucleotide ribosomal RNA is filed under the name uncultured bacterium. RNAcentral's name for it is "partial 16S ribosomal RNA". It matches the Rfam family "Bacterial small subunit ribosomal RNA", at positions 30 to 526 of the family's 1533-position model. The record is from RNAcentral.